This 903-nucleotide long non-coding RNA is filed under the name Homo sapiens (human). Its description in RNAcentral is "HSALNT0358791". The record is from RNAcentral. Lineage: Eukaryota; Metazoa; Chordata; Mammalia; Primates; Hominidae.
GCCCUCCGGCUGAGCCCUGAUCUCUAUGGUUUCCGCGGCUCGCUAGAAGGAGUGUGGUCCACCGGAGGACUCCCUACAUUCUUCCUCCAUUACCUCACUGCCUCCGGUGGCUGCUGGGAUACCGGAGGACUCGGGUCCCGGCUCGACUCAGUCCUCCAGCCGCCCGGGGAAUACCUCUAGUUCUUCCCGGCCGCCGCCGCCGCCGCCGCCCCGCCGCUUCCUCCUCCGCCUGCCGGCCUCCUUCGCCCCGUCCCGUCCGCGCAGCGCGUCCGGCCCGCCCGCAGGCCAGCUUCUCUCGGGAGCCCCCACCCAGGCGCAUGGCUCCAUGAAGCAAGAGGAGGAGGCAGAGCGCGAGAGGUCCCGUCCGCCCCAGCCGCGUCUGGGCCAGGAUAAAAGCAAAACCAUAUUCCUGCUGCUGUCAGUUAUGAUGCACUGAGAAAACUUCAGAGACCUAAACUUUUUCCAGAGAAGAGAAGCUUUACUGGUGUUCCAGCCCUAAGAAACCUUUGUUCAAGAAAACGGCAGAUGCUCUGUUGAAUCCACUGGAGAUUGUUCUGAUACUAAGGACAAGUAUCAACCAUCUUUCCUGUGAAAAAUUCCCUCUCGUACUUUAGUUCUGUGGAUCCAAAAUUUAUAGCAUUCUUCUACCACCACAGGGGCUCAUAUGACAUUAACAGACAAGACACUUUUCAGAAAGACAGGCAACGUGUUGGACCUUCCGGAGCUUCUCAGAAGACAGAGGGUUUUCUUUUGAGACAAAUCAACUCAAUCAAAGAAACCAACUCAAUCAAAGAAAGAUGGGUCUACAUACAACAAAACUGAACAAAAUCUGCAAGAAGAGUGAUUCAUACAUGGGCUAUUGAGGCAACAUGAAAUGGACAUUAAUCGACUAAGUAAAAAACA